UACGUAGGGGGCAAGCGUUGUCCGGAUUUAUUGGGCGUAAAGAGCUCGUAGGUGGUUUGGUAAGUCGGAUGUGAAAUCUCCAGGCUCAACCUGGAGGGGUCAUUCGAUACUGCCAUGACUAGAGGUCGGUAGGGGAGUGUGGAAUUCCUGGUGGAGCGGUGAAAUGCGUUGAUAUCAUCAGGAACACCGGUGGCGAAAGCGGCUUACUGGGUCUCUUCUGACGCUGAGGAACGAAAGCUAGGGUAGCGAACGGG
Molecule: ribosomal RNA, 254 nt
Filed under: uncultured bacterium
Lineage: Bacteria
Description: partial 16S ribosomal RNA
Rfam family: Bacterial small subunit ribosomal RNA
Source: RNAcentral